Molecule: ribosomal RNA, 257 nt
Filed under: uncultured Funneliformis
Lineage: Eukaryota; Fungi; Glomeromycota; Glomeromycetes; Glomerales; Glomeraceae
Description: partial large subunit ribosomal RNA
Rfam family: Eukaryotic large subunit ribosomal RNA
Source: RNAcentral
GAAAGAUGAAAAGAACUUUGAAAAGAGAGUUAAAUAGUACGUGAAAUUGUUGGAAAGGAAACGAUUAAAGUCAGUCAUACCAACGGGAAAUCAACCUUUUUGAGUUUGGUCUUGUGGGUUUGAAGAGUUUCAAAGCCUUCCGAUUUGUGGGAUUGGGAUCUCUUGGUGCACUUUUUCGUACGGUUAGUCAACAUCGGUUUUGAAUGUCAUAAAAUGACUGGAGGAAUGUAGCUUCGAUCUCGUAUUGAAGUGUUAUA